RNAcentral lists this ribosomal RNA (619 nucleotides) under Anabaena sp. 174. Its description in RNAcentral is "bacterial SSU rRNA". It matches the Rfam family "Bacterial small subunit ribosomal RNA", at positions 38 to 698 of the family's 1533-position model. Lineage: Bacteria; Bacillati; Cyanobacteriota; Cyanophyceae; Nostocales; Nostocaceae. The record is from RNAcentral.
GACCCGGGAGUCCUAACACAUUGCAAGUCGAACGGUCUCUUCGGAGAUAGUGGCGGACGGGUGAGUAACGCGUGAGAAUCUAGCUUCAGGUCGGGGACAACCACUGGAAACGGUGGCUAAUACCGGAUGUGCCGAAAGGUGAAAGAUUUAUUGCCUGAAGAUGAGCUCGCGUCUGAUUAGCUAGUUGGUGUGGUAAGAGCGCACCAAGGCGACGAUCAGUAGCUGGUCUGAGAGGAUGAUCAGCCACACUGGGACUGAGACACGGCCCAGACUCCUACGGGAGGCAGCAGUGGGGAAUUUUCCGCAAUGGGCGAAAGCCUGACGGAGCAAUACCGCGUGAGGGAGGAAGGCUCUUGGGUUGUAAACCUCUUUUCUCAGGGAAUAAAAAAAUGAAGGUACCUGAGGAAUAAGCAUCGGCUAACUCCGUGCCAGCAGCCGCGGUAAUACGGAGGAUGCAAGCGUUAUCCGGAAUGAUUGGGCGUAAAGCGUCCGCAGGUGGCACUGUAAGUCUGCUGUUAAAGAGCAAGGCUCAACCUUGUAAAGGCAGUGGAAACUACAGAGCUAGAGUACGUUCGGGGCAGAGGGAAUUCCUGGUGUAGCGGUGAAAUGCGUAGAAAUA